Molecule: ribosomal RNA, 205 nt
Filed under: uncultured bacterium
Lineage: Bacteria
Description: partial 16S ribosomal RNA
Rfam family: Bacterial small subunit ribosomal RNA
Source: RNAcentral
CGCGUAGGCGGGUGCUCAAGUCUGUGGUGAAAUCCUCCAGCUUAACUGGAGAACUGCCAUGGAUACUGGGUGUCUCGAGGAAGAUAGGGGUAUGCGGAACGAUUGGUGGAGCGGUGAAAUGCGUUGAUAUCAAUCGGAACUCCGGUGGCGAAGGCGGCAUACUGGAUCUUUUCUGACGCUGAGGCGCAAAGCCAGGGAGCAAACG